GAUGAACGCUGACAGCAUGCUUAACACAUGCAAGUCAACUUGUGGCGGACGGGGGAGUAACGCGUAAAGAACUGGCCACACGGAUAGGGACAACCUUAGGAAACGAAUGCUAAUACCUGAAACUGUGAGAGAGCUUUGCGUCCCAUUAGCUAGGUGGAGAGGUAACGGAUCACCAAGGCGAGGAUGGGUAGCCGGCCUGCGAGGGUGAUCGGCCACAAGGGGACUGAGACGCGGCACUUACUCCUACUGGAGGCAGGAGUGGGGAAUAGUGGACAAUGGACCAAAGUCUGAACCAGGAAUUCUGUGUGCACGAUGUAGUUUUCAGGAUGUAAAGUGCGUUCAGUUUGGAAGCGGUACCAACAGAAGAAGUGACGGCUAAAUACGUGCCAGCAGCCGCGGUAAUUC
RNAcentral lists this ribosomal RNA (405 nucleotides) under uncultured bacterium. RNAcentral describes it as "partial 16S ribosomal RNA". It matches the Rfam family "Bacterial small subunit ribosomal RNA", at positions 28 to 526 of the family's 1533-position model. The record is from RNAcentral.